GUUGGUGGUGACAAUGGAGAUGUUGAUGACACUGGUGACUAGCAUUUUCACGAUUUUCUGAACAAUUAGCACAAUCAUUCGAAUCUGGCU
Molecule: small nucleolar RNA, 90 nt
Filed under: Tetranychus urticae (two-spotted spider mite)
Lineage: Eukaryota; Metazoa; Arthropoda; Arachnida; Trombidiformes; Tetranychidae
Description: snoRNA tetur36g01352
Source: RNAcentral